RNAcentral lists this ribosomal RNA (468 nucleotides) under uncultured bacterium. Its description in RNAcentral is "partial 16S ribosomal RNA". It matches the Rfam family "Bacterial small subunit ribosomal RNA", at positions 28 to 507 of the family's 1533-position model. The record is from RNAcentral.
GACGAACGCUGGCGGCGUGCUUAACACAUGCAAGUCGAACGGAAAGGCCCUGCUUUUGUGGGGUGCUCGAGUGGCGAACGGGUGAGUAACACGUGAGUAACCUGCCCUUGACUUUGGGAUAACUUCAGGAAACUGGGGCUAAUACCGGAUAGGAGCUCCUGCUGCAUGGUGGGGGUUGGAAAGUUUCGGCGGUUGGGGAUGGACUCGCGGGUUAUCCGCUGGUUGGUGGGGUAGUGGCUUACCAAGGCUUUGACGGGUAGCCGGCCUGGGAGGGUGACCGGCCACAUUGGGACUGAGAUAGGGCCCAGACUCCUACGGGAGGCAGCAGUGGGGAAUAUUGCACAAUGGGCGGAAGCCUGAUGCAGCAACGCCGCGUGCGGGAUGACGGCCUUCGGGUUGUAAACCGCUUUCGCAUGUGACGAAGCGUGAGUGACGGUAAUGGGUAAAGAAGCACCGGCUAACUACGUG